GAUGAACGCUGGCGGCGUGCCUAAUACAUGCAAUUCGAGCGCACGGACGAGAAGCUUGCUUCUCUGAUGUUAGCGGCGGACGGGUGAGUAACACGUGUAUCACCUACCUAUAAGACUGGCAUAACUUCGGGAAACCGGAACUAAUACCGGAUAAUCUUUUGAACCGCAUGGUUCAAAAGUCAAAGUCGGUCUUGCUGUCACUUAUAGAUGGAUCCCCGCUGCAUUAGCUAGUUGGUAAGGUAACGGCUUACCGAGGCAACGAUGCAUAGCCGACCUGAGAGGGUGAUCGGCCACACUGGAACUGAGACACGGUCCACACUCCUACGGGAGGCAGCAGUAGGGAAUCUUCCGCAACGGGCGAAAGCCUGACGGAGCAACGCCGCGUGAGUGAUGAAGGUCUUCGGAUCGUAAAACUCUGUUAUUAGGGAAGAACAUAUGUGUAAGUAACUGUGCACAUCUUGACGGUACCUAAUCAGAAAGCCACGGCUAACUACGUG
This 497-nucleotide ribosomal RNA is filed under the name uncultured bacterium. RNAcentral describes it as "partial 16S ribosomal RNA". It matches the Rfam family "Bacterial small subunit ribosomal RNA", at positions 28 to 507 of the family's 1533-position model. The record is from RNAcentral.